UGGAUAACCUGCCCUCGGCACCGGGAUAGCCCGAGGAAACUCGGAUUAAUACCGGAUAGCCCUUCCGACUCUCGAGUCGGUCCGAAAAGGUAGCUUCGGCCUCUGGCCGAGGAUGGGUCCGCGGCGGAUUAGCUUGUUGGUGGGGUAAUGGCCUACCAAGGCAUCGAUCCGUAGCUGGCCUGAGAGGACGAUCAGCCACACUGGGACUGAGACACGGCCCAGACUCCUACGGGAGCAG
This 238-nucleotide ribosomal RNA is filed under the name uncultured bacterium. Its description in RNAcentral is "partial 16S ribosomal RNA". It matches the Rfam family "Bacterial small subunit ribosomal RNA", at positions 118 to 347 of the family's 1533-position model. The record is from RNAcentral.